GACCGCUCUGGUGGCCUAGUGGUUAGAGCGUUUCGCCUCAGAUGCGCGUGGUCGCGGGUUGGAACCCCGACUGAGUCA
Potamilus streckersoni is the source of this 78-nucleotide non-coding RNA. NCBI's taxonomy places the organism in Eukaryota, Metazoa, Mollusca, Bivalvia, Unionida, Unionidae. The record is from the annotation of a GenBank genome assembly.